RNAcentral lists this ribosomal RNA (253 nucleotides) under uncultured bacterium. Its description in RNAcentral is "partial 16S ribosomal RNA". It matches the Rfam family "Bacterial small subunit ribosomal RNA", at positions 524 to 776 of the family's 1533-position model. The record is from RNAcentral.
UACGGGGGGGGCAAGCGUUGUUCGGAAUUACUGGGCGUAAAGGGCUCGUAGGUGGCCAACUAAGUCAGACGUGAAAUCCCUCGGCUUAACCGGGGAACUGCGUCUGAUACUGGAUGGCUUGAAUCCGGGAGAGGGAUGCGGAAUUCCAGGUGUAGCGGUGAAAUGCGUAGAUAUCAGGAGGAACACCAGCGGCGAAGGCGGCGCUCUGGGCCGGUACUGACGCUGAGGAGCGAAAGCGUGGGGAUCAAACAGG